GCGGUAAGGCCCCUGCUUGCAGGGGUACACGAGCGGCGAACGGGUGAGUAACACGUGAGUAAUCUGCCCUUCACUCUGGGAUAAGCUUCGGAAACGGGGUCUAAUACCGGAUAUGACGCAUCCAGGCAUCUGGUGUGUGUGGAAACUUUUGUGGGUGGGGGAUGUGCUCGCGGCCUAUCAGCUUGUUGGUGGGGUAAUGGCCUACCAAGGCUUCGACGGGUAGCCGGCCUGAGAGGGUGACCGGUCACACUGGGACUGAGACACGGCCCAGACUCCUACGGGAGGCAGCAGUGGGGAAUAUUGGACAAUGGGCGGAAGCCUGAUCCAGCAACGCCGCGUGAGGGAUGACGGCCUUCGGGUUGUAAACCUCUUUCACCAUUGACGAAGCCGCACAGUGUGUGUGGUGACGGUAGGUGGGGAAGAAGCACCGGCCAACUACGUGCCAGCAGCCGCGGUAAUACGUAGGGUGCGAGCGUUGUCCGGAAUUAUUGGGCGUAAAGGGCUCGUAGGCGGUUUGUCGCGUCGGGAGUGAAAACACUGGGCUUAACUCAGUGCUUGCUUUCGAUACGGGCAGACUAGAGGGAUGCAGGGGAGAACGGAAUUCCUGGUGUAGCGGUGAAAUGCGCAGAUAUCAGGAGGAACACCGGUGGCGAAGGCGGUUCUCUGGGCAUGUCCUGACGCUGAGGAGCGAAAGUGUGGGGAGCGAACAGGAUUAGAUACCCUGGUAGUCCACACCGUAAACGUUGGGCGCUAGGUGUGGGAUCCAUCCACGGGUUCCGUGCCGCAGCUAACGCAUUAAGCGCCCCGCCUGGGGAGUAC
Molecule: ribosomal RNA, 819 nt
Filed under: Nocardioides sp.
Lineage: Bacteria; Bacillati; Actinomycetota; Actinomycetes; Propionibacteriales; Nocardioidaceae
Description: bacterial SSU rRNA
Rfam family: Bacterial small subunit ribosomal RNA
Source: RNAcentral